Molecule: ribosomal RNA, 420 nt
Filed under: uncultured bacterium
Lineage: Bacteria
Description: partial 16S ribosomal RNA
Rfam family: Bacterial small subunit ribosomal RNA
Source: RNAcentral
AAUAUUGGACAAUGGGGGCAACCCUGAUCCAGCCAUGCCGCGUGUGUGAAGAAGGUCNNNGGAUUNUCAAGCACUUUAAGUUGNGAGNAAGGGCUUUAGGCUAAUACCCUGAAGUUUUGACGUUACCAACAGAAUAAGCGCCGGCUAACUCUGUGCCAGCAGCCGCGGUAAUACAGAGGGUGCAAGCGUUAAUCGGAAUUACUGGGCGUAAAAGGCGGGGAGGUUGUUCAGGAAAGAGGGUGUGAAAUCCCCGGGCCUAAACUGGGGACUGCUUUCAAAAAUGGUGAGCUAGAGUACGGUAGGGGGUUGUGGGAUUUCCUGUGUAGCGGUGAAAUGGGUAGAUAUAGGAAGGAACACCAGUGGCGAAGGCGACCAACUGGACUGAUUCUGAAACUGAGGUGCGAAAGCGUGGGGAGCAAA